RNAcentral lists this ribosomal RNA (322 nucleotides) under uncultured bacterium. RNAcentral describes it as "bacterial SSU rRNA". It matches the Rfam family "Bacterial small subunit ribosomal RNA", at positions 83 to 422 of the family's 1533-position model. The record is from RNAcentral.
CAGCAAUGGAGAGUGGCAGACGGGUGAGUAACACGUGGGAACCUUCCCUUUGGUUCGGAAUAGCCCAGGGAAACUUGGGGUAAUACCGGAUAAGCCCUUACGGGGAAAGAUUUAUCGCCGAAGGAUGGGCCCGCGUCGGAUUAGCUAGUUGGUGGGGUAACGGCCUACCAAGGCGACGAUCCGUAGCUGGUCUGAGAGGAUGAUCAGCCACACUGGGACUGAGACACGGCCCAGACUCCUACGGGAGGCAGCAGUGGGGAAUAUUGGACAAUGGGCGCAAGCCUGAUCCAGCCAUGCCGCGUGAGUGACGAAGGCCUUAGGG